AAUAAAGAACACCCAGUUAAAUUUUAAUUUCAGACACAAAGCAAUUUUUUUUUUAGUAUAAGUAUGUUCCAUGCAAUAUUUGGGACAUACUCAUACUAAAAAAUUAUUUGUUGUUUAUCUGAAAUUCAACUUUAGCUGGAUGUCCCAUAUUUU
This 153-nucleotide microRNA precursor is filed under the name Choloepus hoffmanni (Hoffmann's two-fingered sloth). RNAcentral describes it as "miRNA (ENSCHOG00000015571.1)". The stretch from base 50 to 101 matches the Rfam family "mir-1302 microRNA precursor family". Lineage: Eukaryota; Metazoa; Chordata; Mammalia; Pilosa; Megalonychidae. The record is from RNAcentral.